GACGAACGCUGGCGGCGUGCUUAACACAUGCAAGUCGAACGGAAAGGCCCUGUUCUUGCGGGGUGCUCGAGUGGCGAACGGGUGUGUAACACGUGAGUAACCUCCGCUUUACUUUGGGAUAACUUCAGGGAACUGGGGCUAAUACCGGAUAGGAGCUCUUGCUGCAUGGUGGGGGUUGGAAAGUUUCGGCGUUUGGGGAUGGACGCGAGGCUAAUCAGUUUGUUGGUGGGGUGGUGGCUUACCAAGGCGUUGAGGGGUAGCCGGCCUGAGAGGGUGACCGGCCACAAUGGGACUGAGGAACGAGCCAGAGGCCAACGUGGGGCAGGGGUGGGGAACAUUGCACAAUGGGCGGAAGCCUGAUACAGCGGCGCCGGGUGCGGAAUGACGGCUUGUGGGGUAUAAACCGCUUUCGCCUGUAACGAAGCGUGAGUGACGGUAACGGGUAAAGAAGCACCGGCUAACUACGUG
RNAcentral lists this ribosomal RNA (468 nucleotides) under uncultured bacterium. Its description in RNAcentral is "partial 16S ribosomal RNA". It matches the Rfam family "Bacterial small subunit ribosomal RNA", at positions 28 to 507 of the family's 1533-position model. The record is from RNAcentral.